ACGGAAGGCAGCAGUGGGGAAUAUUGGACAAUGGGGGAAACCCUGAUCCAGCGACGCCGCGUGAGUGAGGAAGUAUUUCGGUAUGUAAAGCUCUAUCAGCAGGGAAGAUAAUGACGGUACCUGAAUAAGAAGCCCCGGCUAACUACGUGCCAGCAGCCGCGGUAAUACGUAGGGGGCAAGCGUUAUCCGGAUUUACUGGGUGUAAAGGGAGCGUAGACGGCAAGGCAAGUCUGAUGUGAAAACCCGGGGCUCAACCUCGGGACUGCAUUGGAAACUGUCUGGCUAGAGUGCAGGAGAGGUAAGUGGAAUUCCUAGUGUAGCGGUGAAAUGCGUAGAUAUUAGGAGGAACACCAGUGGCGAAGGCGGCUUACUGGACUGUAACUGACGUUGAGGCUCGAAAGCGUGGGUAGCAAACAGGAUUAGAUACCCUGGUA
This 434-nucleotide ribosomal RNA is filed under the name uncultured Lachnospiraceae bacterium. RNAcentral describes it as "partial 16S ribosomal RNA". It matches the Rfam family "Bacterial small subunit ribosomal RNA", at positions 341 to 792 of the family's 1533-position model. Lineage: Bacteria; Bacillati; Bacillota; Clostridia; Lachnospirales; Lachnospiraceae. The record is from RNAcentral.